Long non-coding RNA from Triticum aestivum (bread wheat), 3073 nucleotides. RefSeq lists it as uncharacterized. Lineage: Eukaryota; Viridiplantae; Streptophyta; Magnoliopsida; Poales; Poaceae. The transcript has 3 exons. The record is from RefSeq and is a predicted model, not a curated record.
CUUGAACACCAGCUCUUGUUCCCAAGCUGGGGCGCGAGGAAAACUUUCUAGAGCUCUUUCUUCCGAGCUUGCCCAUGUCACCGGUUGGUCUGACCAUUGUAAUGGCUCCUCACUGACGAAGGCGGUGCUGCAAGCCUGCAACACACGAACAAGCACUGCAAAUUGAGCAUCAGGAGGAGGAAGCUCGGGCUGUAUUUUGCAAUUCGGGCCGAACGCUUUUUGAACUUGAGACACAUGCAGAACAGGAUGAAUCCGGUUGUGUGUUCAGGAAGUUGAAGACGAUAAACAGAAGCUCCCACGUGGUUCAGCACUUCAAAAGAUCCGUAAAAUUUGAACAACAGCUUGUGGUGUGCCCAUGGCGCCACCGAAGAUUGAAUAUGAGGCUACAGUUUGAGGAAGGAAUCACCCGCACUGAAAUGAUGAUUAGAGUGUUUCUUGUCUGCUUGAUGUUUCAUGCGAGCACGGACACACUCCACGAUCCACGUGUUGCUGUAACAGCCUAAUUAAGGACCAUUGCACGAUCUUGUAGCCAGGAAUCCAGAUCUGAAACUUCACAUGCUUCUAACAGCGAUACGCUGAAUUGCCUUGGAGUUUACCUGAAUCUUACCUAUAACCACACUUUUUGCCUUCCAGAGCAAAAUGAGGGCUUGUGUUGUACCAAUAUUCUGCUAGUGACAACCAGUGUGCCCACUUCACAAGACAAUCAUGAGAGAAACAGAGAAAGUACGCCUCCAAAAGAGAAACAGAGAAAGUACGCCUGCAAACAUUGGUUGACACAUUCUGACUGCCCGUCGGUUUGAGGAUGAUGUGGCGAACUCAUGCGAAGCUUGUGAAAAUGCGGUCACGAUCAGCACCAUGGACUCAGGCAUGCCAUGAAGUUUAUGAAUAUUAUCCAUGAAAGCUGUUGCCACUACAGAAACUGUGGAUGAAUGUUGUACGCAAUGAAAUGGGCGUACGAGACAGCUUAUCAACUACCAGCAGGACAUAGUUGAAACACUCAGAUCGUCGCAAUCCUUCCAUGAAAUCCAUGGUCAACAAUUACCAAAAUUGUUUAGGAGCCGGCAACGGCUCCAAUAGUCCAGGAUAACGUGCACUAUCAGGUGAUGGGAAUACCUGAAUGGCCACCAAUUGAGCUGGAAUGGAAGGCUUCGAGUAACUUGCAUCUUUGGGAGGAUCUCCUGCAUAUCCUAUGGAAUGGCCUUGUUGAAGAAGAAGAAGAAGAAGAGCUCCUACUCCCGUGUCACACGCGUUAGUUUCCACCACAAAUUGAGAAAAAUCUAGGAGAGCAAGAACUGGCAGCACAUACACUGGGACAGAUUUAGGAAAUUCAAAAGCACUUUGGGCUUCCGGUGACCAAACAAAGGGCGUGUCCUUGCAAAGAAGAUUGGUAAGUCGUUGGCUGCAUACUGACGCAAAAACUUGCGAUAAUACCCUGAUAAAGCUAGGAAACCCGCAAUUCUUUCAGAUUGCUAGGUCUUGGCAAAUUUUGCACAUCACAAACCUUGGAUGGAUUGGCCUGGACACCCCUUCCAGAUACCAUGAACCCCAGAUAAGAUGUGCCGUGCUGUGCAUAAGCACACUUAGAUCCCUUCAUUUCUCCAUUGGUUUUGUUGCAGCAGUUGCAAUACUUGUUGCGCAUGGACUAGGUGCUCUUCGAAGGUUGCACUCUGAAUCAGAAUAUUGUCAAAGAACACCAGUGCGCACUUGCGAAGUACUGCAGCAAGAGUUGUAUUCAUCAUUGAUUAAAAUGUUGCAAGGGAUCCAGUUAGCCCAAAAGCCAUGAUGUUGAAUUGAUAGUGUCCAUUAUGAGUAUGAAAAGCUUGCUUGUAUUCUUCUCCCGGCGCCAAGUAGAGUGGUGAUAUCUGGCACACAAAUCGAGCUUAGAAAACCGUGAAGCACUGACCAUCUCAUCGAACAAUUCGUCUAUCACUGUCAGAGAGUAGAUUUAGGUGACGGUAGUCCACACAAAGGCACCAUGUUUGAUCUUUCUUCCUGACCAUGAUGAUAGGGAAUGCGAAUGCACUGUUGCUGACAGAAGUGACCCUUGUGCGCAACAUUUCAACAAUCUUUGCUUCAAUCUUCAAUCUCAGACUUAAGCUCAGGAGUAUAGCCAAUGGCGGAGCCAGAAUCGACUCACGCCCCAGGCAGCCUUGUGGCUACAGUCUGCUACAGUGGUACUGUACGCUACAGCCAUUGAAGGAUAUCUCACCCACGUCCCAAGCGGCGGCCCGGCCUGUCUGGGCCUGACGCCGCCAUGAUGUUCGCUGGUCUAGAACCUUCUAUGAGGGGAAUAUGAUGGCCACUUGACUUUCUUGGAGACAAUUCAGUUAGUUCUGAGAAUAGCUGACCAAACUAUUCCAAAAUAGCCUGAAUUUCGACCAGAAUUAUUUCUUUACUUUCAUCCUGCAGCAAAUGUAUUUCCACCACUCUGCAGCACUAAAUUCUUCUAGUGGGUGACCUUGCAAGCAAACUUAUGUUCCUUUAUGAUCAAAGGACAACCAUUUUUGUUCCCAAUUUACUCGCAUAUUUCCUCUGGCGCCUAGCCAGUCCAUUACAAUUUGAGAGGUAAAACCUUGAAAUCGGACUUGAGUUGAUGACCAGUUGUAGUCCAUUAACAAGAUGGAAUAAUAUGGGUGCAGAAUAAUUGUCUCCCUCCAGCAAUUCGAACCUUCUGUUGCGUGGACAAUGGCGUUCUACCAGGUACGUGCUGAGCCAGUCUCGAACUGACAAAUGAAUGGGAACUGCUCGAGUCUAGCAACAUUCAGCUAUUGUGUAAUCCAACCUGAUACCUGUAUGAGUGUUUUUAUCUGAUUGAGUUUCUGCUGACAACAGCAUCAAAUUAUCUUCACUGUCAUCAGACUCAGCUGCUUCUGACGCAGCAAAAUUACAGCAUCUCCUGCACAAGAUGUAGCUGCACAGUAAUGUUGCAUUUAUGGUCCUUGCGCCAUUUUUCUCCACAGAUAAAGCACAUACAGACCCUUAGCCCUUUGGUAUGCCUUCCGAGUAGCAAGUUUAUAUGCCACUUUGUUUGCCCCUCUCCUAAUCAGCAUGGGCAGUUGUUGUGUGCAUGAGA